GGGUUGGAUAACGGGGUGACGGACGUUUUUCAUCUGAUAUAUGUUACCAUGGCGGAUGGCAUGCUAUUGAACUUCGAUUUGGGCGAUGGAGUCGUUAAAACCACGCAGAAGUUCAAGGGCGGGACAUGGAAGGAUCGGCUCUCUAUAAAGAAAAUUGCGCUGCACCGCCAAAAUAAAUCCAAAGACCCCAACCCCAAGGUUCAGGGUCGUGGCGGACAGAAAGAUGGGCCGGCGAACCCUAAUAGAGUUGAGAUAUCAUCUCCUCGACCUCCCAAGCGGCAGAAAGUCGACGGCGAUUUUAAACCGUAUUCGGUGCCAUCGCUUCGAGCGGACGGCCAUAUCCCUACGUCUACGAAACUCGGUAACAGUAAUGACAGUGGUAAUACCCAAGGCAACCAAGCUCACAAGAACCAGAAUCAACCGCGCGAAGUCAUUUCCUCUCUUUUCUCCUUCAAUCCCACUCCUGUUUCUGCCGUCGAGCCACCGAAGCCAGAAGGAGCUGAGCCCGCCAAGCCCUCCAAUGCACCCCUCAUCGACAGAAUUGAUACAUUCACCUCCUUGGGACUAUCCCAAACGCUCGCAGCGCAUCUAAUGACAAAACUUGAACUUAAAGCACCGACGGCUAUUCAGAAAAGAGCUAUAUCUCAAUUGCUGAAGGAAGAGUGCGAUGCGUUCAUACAAGCCCAAACCGGGUCGGGGAAAACCCUAGCAUAUCUACUUCCAUUGGUUCAGCGGCUGAUUAAUUUGUCAAGAACCAACGAGGAGGCUUUCGAGCGGGCGAAUCAAGACUCAUCAGAUAACACUGCUGUGCACAGAGACUCGGGACUUUUUGCGAUCAUCCUUGCCCCUACGAGAGAAUUAUGCAAGCAAAUAUUCGUUGUGCUGGAGCAAUUGUUGCGCUGUGCGCAUUGGAUAGUUGCGGGUACGGUUAUUGGUGGAGAGAAGAAGAAGUCUGAAAAGGCAAGGUUGAGGAAGGGGUUGAAUAUUCUCGUUGCUACGCCUGGUCGGUUGGCUGACCAUUUGGAAAAUACAAAGGUGCUGGAUGUGAGUAAUGUUAGGUGGUUGGUCCUUGAUGAGGGAGAUAGGCUUAUGGAUUUGGGUUUUGAAGAGGAGAUUCAAAAAAUUGUGAGGAAGUUGGAUGAGAGGCAGAGAUCAAAGGGAAUCCCUGGUCUGCCUACCAAGAGAGUUACAAUAUUGUGCUCCGCAACUUUGAAAAUGAAUGUGCAGCGGUUGGGGGAUAUCAGUCUCAAAGACGCUGUGCAUGUCCAAGCUGAUCAGGAUGACGAAGAUGGAGAAAUGAAAUUGAAAAGUACUGGUAGUAACCCUGAGUUUUCGGUACCUGCACAACUUAAACAAUCCUACGCUGUGGUUGCUGCCAAGUUACGACUUGUUACUCUCACGGCGUUGAUGAAACGGACAUUUUCCAGGAAAGGUUCUGUUAUGAAAACAAUAAUUUUCGUUUCUUGUGCGGAUUCCGUGGAUUUCCAUUUCGAGGUUUUCUCCAGGCAAGAUUCUGACAACAAAAGUGGAGAGAAAGAGGCCAAAACUACUAAAGCUUCACCGCCCGGCACCAAACCAGCAUCUAUCCAUGGCACAAUUGCGAAAUCAACAGCUUUUUCGAACCCUACCAAUCCAGUUACAAUAUAUAAACUUCAUGGUUCACUUCCUCAACAUAUCAGAACUUCAACUCUCUCUGCUUUCUCCCGACAAAGUGAAGCAGCUGUUCUCAUCUGCACUGAUGUUGCGGCUCGCGGCCUUGACCUGCCAAACGUCGAUUUCGUAGUCGAAUACGACCCCGCCUUCAGUUCAGAUGAUCACCUCCACCGAAUAGGCCGAACCGCAAGAUUGGGACGCGACGGCAGAGCCCACAUAUUCCUCCUUCCCGGCAACGAAGAGAAAUACGUCGAAAUUCUAAAACAGGGUUAUCGAGACAGCGGCGCUAAGAUUUCCCACACGGAUGUGAACGAGACGUUGAAACGUGGCUUUGGUGGAAACACUGAAACGACGAGUAAGGGUUGGGAAGACAAAGCAACAGAAUGGCAGCUUGACGUCGAGCGCUGGGCGCUUGAGAACCCGACCGUCCUCGAGAUGGCCAGACGAGCGUACCAGUCUCAUAUCCGUGCUUAUGCGACACAUAUUGCCAGUGAACGGGACAUGUUUAACAUCAAGGAUCUCCAUUUAGGCCAUUUGGCGAAGAGCUUUGCGCUGCGCGAUAGACCCGCUAAGAUCAAUGUGCCUGGUCUUCGACCUGGUAAAGAAGAUACAAAGAGGGAAUUCAAGGCUGACAGGAAGGGCACUAGGGAUGGCGUGCAAGUCAAUAACGCCACAAGUGCCUCUGAUGCGGUACGCAAAAUGCGGGAGAAAGUAAAGGAACAUAUGGCAGGCGCGAAUGAAUUUAAUAUCGCGUAGAAUAAUGGCUAAGGUUGGUUGCUAGCGUUAGUGCCGAAGUUCAUUUUUUCAUAACUAUCAUAAUAUUAAAGUAGAAGAAAAAAAUCAAUAACUUGCA
This 2506-nucleotide small RNA is filed under the name Histoplasma capsulatum var. duboisii H88. RNAcentral describes it as "Histoplasma capsulatum H88 hypothetical RNA". The record is from RNAcentral. Lineage: Eukaryota; Fungi; Ascomycota; Eurotiomycetes; Onygenales; Ajellomycetaceae.